Non-coding RNA from Pteropus alecto (black flying fox), 45 nucleotides. NCBI's taxonomy places the organism in Eukaryota, Metazoa, Chordata, Mammalia, Chiroptera, Pteropodidae. The record is from Rfam.
ACAAAGGCUCUUUUCAGAGCCACUCACCCUGUCAGAAAGCUGGCA